This 424-nucleotide ribosomal RNA is filed under the name uncultured cyanobacterium. RNAcentral's name for it is "bacterial SSU rRNA". It matches the Rfam family "Bacterial small subunit ribosomal RNA", at positions 356 to 795 of the family's 1533-position model. The record is from RNAcentral. Lineage: Bacteria; Bacillati; Cyanobacteriota.
GGGGAAUUUUCCGCAAUGGGCGAAAGCCUGACGGAGCAAUACCGCGUGAGGGAUGACGGCCUGUGGGUUGUAAACCUCUUUUCUCAAGGAAGAAGCUCUGACGGUACUUGAGGAAUAAGCAUCGGCUAACUCUGUGCCAGCAGCCGCGGUAAUACAGAGGAUGCAAGCGUUAUCCGGGAUCACUGGGCAUAAAGCGUCUGUAGGUUGCUUGCCAAGUCUGCUGUUAAAGACUAGGGCCUAACCCUGGGAAAGCAGUGGAAACUAGUAGGCUUGAGUGUGGUAGAGGUAGAGGGAAUUCCUGGUGUAGCGGUGAAAUGCGUAGAUAUUAGGAAGAACACCAAUGGCGAAAGCACUCUGCUGGGCCAUAACUGACACUGAGAGACGAAAGCUAGGGGAGCAAAUGGGAUUAGAUACCCCAGUAGUC